GCACGAGUAGAGUGAAAGAAACCAUUACCUCUCUCGGAAUCCUUUAGCUUCGUUUGUCUUCUGCCACUCCACAUCUGUCACCACCGCAAGGAGGAACAAACUUGCGUUUUCCUCAAGCUAUCCCCACCACGAGAAAGAGAAUCCAAUAGCAGUCUUUUUCUUUAUUUAUUCCCUUCUUUACGUCUGUUGCGGGCUUGCGUCAGUCUCGCCCUAUUGUCACACACCAACGCCAUUAAAGCUAUGGUAUAGAGAGGGGUAUAGAUCAAGGAAGAAGAAGAGGAGGAUGCUGAGAAGGGAUGCUCCGCUAGAGAUGCUCAGCAACAAGGCAAAGGUAUUCAUUUACUCACCACCGUAAGCUUAGCUGAUGCUUUUUGAUUUCAAGAUGGCUGAUGGAACUAACAGAGAAGAGAAUGCUUCUGAUGUUGCUGCUGUGCAGGAAGGAAGACCAACAACAACAACAAGAACAGGAGGAAGUUGUUGGAAGUGCAGCAAGCCAUUUUGGCCAACAUGUCUCAAGCUCAUCAAGAAUUCAGGGACGAGCUGGUUGGAUCCGGAGAUCGUGUUCAAAUUGGCAUGUGAGGUAUUGGAAAAGUCGGUAGUUUACAAUAAAAAAAUCGAAUUAAAAUGAAUAUAAUAAAUAUCGACUAUAGAUUCAGACAUCUUUAUCCUCGACGAUGUGUGAAAAAAGAUUUAAUAAAAAAAUUAAUAUAUAUAAAGAUGAAGAUUUUAAUUUUUUUAUCAAAUAUUAUAAUGAUUAUCUUGGAGUACAAAGUGUGUCUAUCAACAAACAAAAUUUGUUGAACAUCUUGAUUGAUAUGUUAUCUCUCAUGAUUAAAGAGUUUCACAAGAGAAAUAGUUUUCUUCUCGAAGAAAUAAUUAUAAUUUUUCGACGGAAUGAGAUGAGAUUACAUACUAAUGAAAGAAGUACUCAUCUAUUAUGACUAAGAAUUUUAUUGUAAUAGCUUGGGUGUGUCUAUCAACAAAUGUCUUGUAGACUUAGAAAUGAUGUAUGUAUUAAUUAGAGUUAUACUCUGAAAAAUAAAGAAUGAGAAAUAUCAUGGAUUUUCUUUGUAGAAAAAGGUGCAAUAUAAUGAGUGUGGAAUGCUUGUUGGCCACUGCAGUAUGAACUGAAGGUAGAUGAGAUUAGUUUACUAUGUAUCAGUUGAACUCUCUCUCUACUGAAUAAAAACAGUUUUGAGGAACCUGCCCUCACUCUUCUGCUAUGCUGUAAUUUUGAUGUAUGGGGACCAAAUGCUUUGGCAAUGUGGUUUGAUUUAUGGAACACCUUUGAUUCAAAGGGAGAUCAACUCAUCACUUCUGAAGGGAUAUUGGAAAGGGAUUCCUCUUUCUUCCCCAGAAACUUGAAUGCACAGCAUAUAGGUGAUGUCCAUCACAAUACAAACAUAUUGAAGUAUACAAAUCUAAGUGGUAUGGUUCAACAAUGGCAAUAAGCCAUAACAUUUCAUUGGAUGGGUCUUUUUAGGCUUAUGGAAGAUAAUAUUUUUAAUUAAAUUAAGAGCAUUCAAUAUUUAUUUGUAGAAGUUAUUAAAUAAGGUAAGUCAAUUGAAAUUAAUACUGCAAGGAGAAAUAGAA
This 1593-nucleotide long non-coding RNA is filed under the name Musa acuminata (dwarf banana). RNAcentral describes it as "long non-coding RNA (MACU_LNC002779)". Lineage: Eukaryota; Viridiplantae; Streptophyta; Magnoliopsida; Zingiberales; Musaceae. The record is from RNAcentral.